Molecule: non-coding RNA, 23 nt
Filed under: Mus musculus (house mouse)
Lineage: Eukaryota; Metazoa; Chordata; Mammalia; Rodentia; Muridae
Source: RNAcentral
UGUGAAUGGAUCUGGAGGUUGGA